Molecule: ribosomal RNA, 800 nt
Filed under: uncultured bacterium
Lineage: Bacteria
Description: bacterial SSU rRNA
Rfam family: Bacterial small subunit ribosomal RNA
Source: RNAcentral
AGAGUUUGAUCCUGGCUCAGAUUGAACGCUGGCGGAAUGCUUUACACAUGCAAGUCGAACGGUAGAGGGGGCAACCCCUCGAGAGUGGCGAACGGGUGAGUAAUAUAUCGGAACGUGCCCAGUCGUGGGGGAUAACGUAGCGAAAGUUACGCUAAUACCGCAUACGAUCUACGGAUGAAAGCGGGGGAUCGCAAGACCUCGCGCGAUUGGAGCGGCCGAUAUCAGAUUAGGUAGUUGGUGGGGUAAAGGCUCACCAAGCCAACGAUCUGUAGCUGGUCUGAGAGGACGACCAGCCACACUGGAACUGAGACACGGUCCAGACUCCUACGGGAGGCAGCAGUGGGGAAUUUUGGACAAUGGACGCAAGUCUGAUCCAGCCAUUCCGCGUGCAGGAUGAAGGCCCUCGGGUUGUAAACUGCUUUUGUACGGAACGAAAAGGUCUCUCUUAAUACGGGGGGCUCAUGACGGUACCGUAAGAAUAAGCACCGGCUAACUACGUGCCAGCAGCCGCGGUAAUACGUAGGGUGCAAGCGUUAAUCGGAAUUACUGGGCGUAAAGCGUGCGCAGGCGGUUAUAUAAGACAGAUGUGAAAUCCCCGGGCUCAACCUGGGAACUGCAUUUGUGACUGUAUAGCUAGAGUACGGUAGAGGGGGAUGGAAUUCCGCGUGUAGCAGUGAAAUGCGUAGAUAUGCGGAGGAACACCGAUGGCGAAGGCAAUCCCCUGGACCUGUACUGACGCUCAUGCACGAGAGCGUGGGGAGCAAACAGGAUUAGAUACCCUGGUAGUCCACGCCCUAAAC